Nicotiana attenuata is the source of this 3329-nucleotide RNA transcript. RefSeq lists it as uncharacterized. The record is from RefSeq and is a predicted model, not a curated record. The transcript has 7 exons. NCBI's taxonomy places the organism in Eukaryota, Viridiplantae, Streptophyta, Magnoliopsida, Solanales, Solanaceae.
AUAUCUAUCACCAUAUUAUAAGUUGGAUUUCACGAAUCAUGCAGAACUUGUUUGUUUUACAGGCAUUCAAUUACUGCUGUCUUAGAUAUACUAUUAUCCAAGAAGUUGGCUGCUGGAAAGCUGUUUGUUGGCCAAAAGCUAAGGGUAGCGCAUUAAAUUAAUGGUUGUAGUCUAUCCUUUGUGUAAGAGACUAUGUAAGCAUUAGUAAUACCAAGAACUUAUGACCUGCAUUUAUAUCCUGACAAUGCCACUAAAGUAUUCUCUUUCCCCUUCUGGCCCGUCUUGCUUCAUGUAAAUGUUGUUAGGUAUAGGUGGUGCCAUUCCAUUAUCAUUUUUGUCAAUCAAGGAUGGUGGAGGUUCUGUUCCACUUACAUAGGUCGGAAUUUCAAAGAUAUAUCCUGUUCUCUAUAGGGAAAGGUAAUUGAAAUUUGUAUUAGUUUUGAGUCUGUUGAAAAUCUAUGACAUUAAUGGGGGUUUCGUUGUAAGAUCUCAAAGGACGGAAGCUAAAGAGAUGCACUCUUUUAAUCAAAGUAUUAGCUUCUUGGUUUUUCCUCAUCUGAAACCCGUGAUACAUCAAGAGUUGUGCCUCAACUCCUUCAUUGUAGGCCUCUGUUGUCUGAUGCUACUUUAGUGCCAGAUCACUCUUAAGUCCACAUUUGGUUUAUUCAAUAAAUAUGAAUUCGUGGGUGCAACAUAUAUAAAAGUGUCACAGUUGGUUUAUCUGUAAAGUGAUCCUUACUUCCUGCUACUAUUAUGUGUGAUUUUCAUCAAAUGCUCGAUGGAUCACACAUCUGUAUCAAAAUAUUAUAGCUAUCAAGAAUUGGAUAGCAGAUUAGUUUUUAAAUGGAAAACGUCAAUGGGUUUGAGUAAUGGUAUGUGUCAACUAAUUUUGGUAACUACAACAGUCGCAAAUUGCAUGACAACACCUAAAAAUCUUCACUUGGAUAUAUUUACUACUCAAAACAUUUGACCUUUGCUUUAAGAUUAGAGUGUUUCAACCAUUCUGGGUCAUAGUUGAAUAGCGGAAUGAGGCAUGAAAAUGAGUUUAAUGGACAAUGCGGAUAGUAUCUCUUCUUUUAUUAGGCAAAAGAUGAAAGAAAAUAACUUGCACUGAGCUGAAGAAUAACAUCACUAAAUAUUUUGUGCUAUUAGAGAAAAAUAGAACAGGCAGCGGAGAAUAGUUGUUAAAUGAAUGCAAGGAAGUCAAUGUGGUUAAAUGUUCACUCCCUCCCCUGUGUGCACGGGGGGUUAAGCUUAAGGUUACCUCUCCAGUUAAAGUUGCUUUAGUUAUAAGCGUUCAAUUUUAACAGCGGUCAAUUGUCUUCCCUCAUCAAAUUGAUUGACAUCCUCUAGCAAAUUAAACCAGUAUCACUCUGUUGAAAUGCAGUCAAAUCAUCUGCUAAAUCCAAUCUAUGGGGAAUGAAGAUGUUUCUUUAAAUGAUUUAUGCAUAACACAUAAAUAUGUUUGGUUGUAUGUAUCUGUAUGGCUAGUUUGACGGCUAGGUGGUACCGACUGGUGGAUUGAGCAGCUGGGUUUGGUUUGAAUUAUUAGUCUGGUAGGUUGAAAAUAAAGAAUGACGAGAAGUGACAGUAAACAAAAGUACAAAUGUAAAGUUUGCUCCAAUACCGAAAAGCUUGAUACGAGAAGCUGGUGCUAGCCUUUUCUUGUGAAACAUAGUGCAAGCGCUUGAGCUGAUUUUGCAAAUUAUGAUGGAAAAAUGUCAAGCUUGUAGACGCUGUAGAGUUGUGGAGGGAAUAACCUCAGAAUCUCAGAUACUAGAGAGAGCUGCAGAACCAGAACUUCUGAUGGCAGAGAUGUCUAAAGAGCAGUUGAAUGCAUUUGCAUCCUAUAUAUCAAGCAAUAUAAUAUUUGUUGGAGCUAGGUAUGUUCUUUUAUACUUGCUUCACUAUAGGAGGUUAGGCUGCUGGACUUGCUGAAAGAGACGUCACUCCUUUUAUGCGAGUUAGAGUUGUUGGAUUGACUAGCAAAACUACUCCAUCCAAGUGCUGCAUGCCCACAGGAAGGCUUAAUUACAACAGCAAUCCGAGGGUCAAGCUUUUGCUGUUGCAGGGCUUACACCGAUAAGCUCAGACUCGAGCACCCUUUAUUUGCAAGCAAAAGGGUCCAAAGCCAAAUGACGGCCUUUGUCUCCUAUGGCAAUUGAGGGUUUUGAGCCCUUUUUUUUGUUCCAUUGGGGUGAAAUUCCUAUGGCCAGGGAGUUUGAUAUCGGUGCAGUGGUUUUUGUGGGGCAGCGGUAUACAGAAGCUCAUCAAAGUAAGCAGUGGGUAUUUAAUUUGUAGCUGAUGGGUCCACAUCUACGUUGGAUGAAUCAGAAACCUUGAUGGCCACUAGCUUCAACUCACCAUAUAUGCAUAGAAACUGAUUCAUUUGCACCAAUAAACUCUAACCUUGUAGGGUCUGCGGUGAGUAAGGAGUAAACUACGACUGGCGGUACAUGAUUUUCCUCGUAGCCACCAGCACUGAACCUCUGCUUUUCUGGAAGCAACUUAUUGUGUAGAUAUAAAACAUUAAGAAAAUCCUCUUUUAUACAGGACAUAUGGUGGUAUACCAUUAACUUCCAACUCUAACGCUUCUGUUGCUUAAUGGCAUCUGGGCCCGUGCUUUAAUUACUACUACAACCUUUAUAUUCUCUUAUGGUCUUUGCAUGUAUCCAUGCACAACAUUAUAUAUGUCAUUGAUGCACUACACAGUAUUCCUGAUUAAUGAAUUUAAAGGGUUAUGCUAUAGAGUAAAACUCAAAUGUUGAAGUCGUCGGUCUAUGGUGUUUCUCUAAUUUGUAUCCAGUAUCCACAGCUGAAACAAUGAAGUUUCCUUUUGCAAUCUCAUCAAGAGAGCAAGAGAUAAUUAAUAUUAAUAACCUCUGGGUAGCUGAAGCAACAGAAAAUUCGACCUAUUAUUUAAAUUUUGAUCAUUCACAUUAUAUUGUUAAUUCUCAUCUGAAAGAAGCCAGCGCUUCUGCUGAAAGACGGGCAAAGAUAUCUGGUUCGGUAUGUGUCCUGGCGUUUGGUCAUGAUAUUAUAUACUCCAUUAGCUUCAUUGUUUCAAACUUGUAUUCUUCCAUUAUAUAUGCAGAGACUUGAAAAGCUUAGGGGGAAAGUUGUAUCUAUAAUUAGCUGCCGCUGAACUUGAAGUUUGGCAUGUAUCCUAGUUAAAAUGAUGCUGUGAGGUCUUUAAUUUCCCCAGCAUUAUCAUUUCUUGGGACUAGUCUACAGCUAAAGAAGAGGAUUGAGAUGUAACAUUUAAGGGCUGCAACUUGAUGCCAUAUAUAUAGUGAGACCUAUUCUUAUAUAUAUAUAUAUAUAUAUAU